Molecule: ribosomal RNA, 332 nt
Filed under: uncultured bacterium
Lineage: Bacteria
Description: bacterial SSU rRNA
Rfam family: Bacterial small subunit ribosomal RNA
Source: RNAcentral
UACGUAGGCGGUUCGGCAAGUCUGGCGUGAAAUCCCAUAGCUUAACUAUGGAACUGCGUUGGAAACUACCGAGCUCGAGGGUGGGAGAGGCUGGUGGAAUUCCUGGUGUAGCGGUGGAAUGCGUAGAUAUCAGGAAGAACACUCGUGGCGAAGGCGGCCAGCUGGCCCAUUUCUGACGCUGAGGUACGAAAGCCAGGGGAGCAAACGGGAUUAGAUACCCCGGUAGUCCUGGCCCUAAACUGUGAUAACUAGACGUCGGGGGUAUCGACCCCCUCGGUGUCGUAGCUAACGCGUUAAGUUAUCCGCCUGGGAAGUACGACCGCAAGGUUGAA